RNAcentral lists this transfer-messenger RNA (361 nucleotides) under Rhizobium sp. B209b/85. It matches the Rfam family "Alphaproteobacteria transfer-messenger RNA". Rfam says of the family: Bacterial tmRNA, also known as 10Sa RNA or SsrA, is named for its dual tRNA and mRNA-like properties. Its role is to liberate the mRNA from a stalled ribosome. To accomplish this part of the tmRNA is used as a reading frame that ends in a translation stop signal. RNAcentral also lists the same sequence under 1 other name. Lineage: Bacteria; Pseudomonadati; Pseudomonadota; Alphaproteobacteria; Hyphomicrobiales; Rhizobiaceae. The record is from RNAcentral.
GCUCUUCCCUCGGGCACGAGAAGACACUAUAUGCGUAUUGCCGGUUUUCGGACCGGCUAUGGCAAUAAAUGAGCGAUGUAAUAAACCUAUUGGACCCGGGGGCGGUACCCGGCGCCUCCACCAAAAACCGGCCAGAGAUGAUCGGCUUUUGAUGGGGGCGAAACAGGAUCGACAAGGGUGUAAAGAUCUACUUUUUGCCCGGCAUUGUACCACCGUUAUCGGACUAAAUCUGUAGUUGCAAACACCAACUAUGCGGAAGCUCGUCUCGCUGCUUAAUCGCAGUGUGACACUUCAAAUCAAGUCCUGAAGGUUCGCACCUUAAGGCGGGGUUCGGAGGUACCUGGCAACAGAAACCUCCACC